Molecule: long non-coding RNA, 1491 nt
Organism: Prionailurus viverrinus (fishing cat)
Lineage: Eukaryota; Metazoa; Chordata; Mammalia; Carnivora; Felidae
Exons: 2
Source: RefSeq, a predicted model, not a curated record
CAGCACAGAGCCCAAUGCGGGGUUCAGUCUCACAAACUGUGAGAUCGUAACCUGAGCUGAAAUCAAGUCAGACGCUCAACCAAUUGAGCCACCCAGACGCCCCCAUCUUGUCUUUAACCAGCUAAAGUUAUGGCCUGCUGCUGUGGUCUAUGUUCUAACCAGAAGUCACCCCUCUUACUGUGUUCUCAAAGUCUAUAGGGUCUGUAGUGCUGUCCCCUUUUCGAUCUUGACAUCGCUCUUGGGUUUUCACUCUUUAAAAUAUAUUUGUUGUGAUUUCAUCGAGGAACCAGCUAAUGGUUUGUUUUGUAUUUCAUUUGUCUUCACUUUUGGUCUAUUUUAUUUCCCAUUUUUGGGGUCAGAUUUGCUGUUAAUUUUCUUGUUUCUUAAAAUGAAAGCUUAGACCUUUGGCUUUAAACCUUUCUUCUUUUCUAAUGUAUAUGUAAAUUUCCCCAAGUUUGCUUUAGCAGGAUCCUGAAAUUUUGGUGUAUUAUAAUCAGAGUAUCAUUCAGUUCAACAUAGUUAAUUUACAUAUGGCUUUUUUAGCCCAUGUUUGAUUCCACUGUCAUCAGAGCUGGGUGUAGUGUUCUAUAGAUAUCGAUUAGGUAAAGUCUGUUCAACUAUUAAAGAUCCUUCUUGAUUUUUGUUCGUUCUGUCAUUUAGAGAGAGAUGUGACAGUGUUAAUUUCCAACUAGGGUCAUAGAUUUCUCAUUUUUGUUCUGCCGACUCUUAAACAUAUCUAAUGGUGCUCUGGUGCACAGACUUAGGGCAGUCCUUCCUUCCUGUGGGAUUGACCCGUUCAUCCUCGUGAAAUGUCCUUUAACUGUUACGAACGCUCACUGCCUUAAGGUCUGGUACUGAUACAGGUGUGGUCAGUGUUUGCAGGGCGAUUUUUCACACCGUUCAGCCUCGGUUUCUGUUUCUUUGUAGUUAAAGUGAGACUCUUGCAAUCAGGAAGUUGUCUGGUUUUGGUCUUGCAUCCAGUCUGAUGGUCCUAACCUUUCAACCGGAGGAUUUAGAUCUGCAUACGUUUAAUGUAACUGAUGCGGUUGAGUUUCCAUCUGUCUUUACUUACAUUUUUGAAGGGCUCAGAAUUCUAGUUUGGUAGUUCUUUCUGCUGGCUGUUUGUGACAUUUUUUUCCCUUUGGUUUUUAGCAGUUUGUGUAUACGUGAAUUUUUUUUUUUUUUAACCUCACUUUGGGUCACUGAGAUUUUUCAGUGUGUGAAUUGAUGUCUUUAUUCAUUUUGGAAAAUUCCUGGCUACCAUGCUGUUCCCUCUCUGCUUUUUCUCAGGAACACCCUAACACGUGGGGCAGAGCCAGGUGGCGGACCCGGGUCAGGUUACCCACGCUGCACAGGCACAGCCCCGGUCCGGAGGGCAGAGCCAACAAGGUGGAGGGGGCAGGGAGACAACUGCAGAGAGAAGACCCAGAUCUCAAAGCUGCCAGGGUCCCCUCCCGCCACCCCUGACCAGAAGAAGCACGCAGGUCAGGA